UCAAGAUUUCGCUCCCAGCUGGCGCUCGCUCUCUACCUCUCUUUUUCCGUCGUCCAUCCCCGUGUUCAUUCUUCAGUUGAGAGGUUGCUGACAUCCUUCUACUGAUUCCUCACAUAAUCUUCGAAUUUGAGUCUCGUCUUCCAUUGACUUGGGGCUUUAGGAGGAAGAGAUCGGCCAUUGAUCCAAGCUUGUCUUUGGCUCCUACAUGUGCGAAUGUUUCCAGUCCUACCAUGCCGCUCUCCUUCUUCCCCAGCGAAUCGGAUGAGAAAUGUAAGCGCACAAAGGUUUCAUAUAAAAAGAAGAAGGAAGAUUUGUUGAAGACGGUUCGACUCAUCAGAGAGAGUUGCUAAAAUCGGAAAUCGAGAAUGGGAAGGUGUUGUGCAGCACGUUGAAAGCUCUCAACUCAAAAUUGAAGGAAAGAAAACAACAGGUAAUUUUUUCUAGUUUUUUUAUUUUUUAUUUUUAUUUUUAUUUUUCCU
Long non-coding RNA from Vitis vinifera (wine grape), 479 nucleotides. RefSeq lists it as uncharacterized. NCBI's taxonomy places the organism in Eukaryota, Viridiplantae, Streptophyta, Magnoliopsida, Vitales, Vitaceae. The transcript is spliced from 3 exons. The record is from RefSeq and is a predicted model, not a curated record.